This 466-nucleotide ribosomal RNA is filed under the name uncultured bacterium. RNAcentral describes it as "partial 16S ribosomal RNA". It matches the Rfam family "Bacterial small subunit ribosomal RNA", at positions 28 to 505 of the family's 1533-position model. The record is from RNAcentral.
GACGAACGCUGGCGGCGUGCUUAACACAUGCAAGUCGAACGGAAAGGCCCUGCUUUUGUGGGGUGCUCGAGUGGCGAACGGGUGAGUAACACGUGAGUAACCUGCCCUUGACUUUGGGAUAACUUCAGGAAACUGGGGCUAAUACCGGAUAGGAGCUCCUGCUGCAUGGUGGGGGUUGGAAAGUUUCGGCGGUUGGGGAUGGACUCGCGGCUUAUCAGCUCGUUGGUGGGGUAGUGGCUUACCAAGGCUUUGACGGGUAGCCGGCCUGAGAGGGUGACCGGCCACAUUGGGACUGAGAUACGGCGCAGACUCCUACGGGAGGCAGCAGUGGGGAAUAUUGCACAAUGGGCGGAAGCCUGAUGCAGCAACGCCGCGUGCGGGAUGACGGCCUUCGGGUUGUAAACCGCUUUCGCCUGUGACGAAGCGUGAGUGACGGUAAGGGGUAAAGAAGCACCGGCUAACUACG